AAAGUCGUAACAAGGUUUCCGUAGGUGAACCUGCGGAAGGAUCAUUAACAAGGCAUACAUACUACCCUGUGGCACACACACGAACACACACGCAUACAAACACACACAAACACACACACACAAAACACACAGACUUUUAACAAUGGAUCUCUUGGCUCUU
RNAcentral lists this unclassified non-coding RNA (160 nucleotides) under Basidiomycota sp. RNAcentral's name for it is "partial contains small subunit ribosomal RNA, internal transcribed spacer 1, and 5.8S ribosomal RNA". The stretch from base 1 to 47 matches the Rfam family "Eukaryotic small subunit ribosomal RNA", at positions 1785 to 1831 of the family's 1831-position model. Lineage: Eukaryota; Fungi; Basidiomycota. The record is from RNAcentral.